UACGUAGGGGGCAAGCGUUGUCCGGAUUUAUUGGGCGUAAAGAGCGUGUAGGCGGCCUGGAAGGUCAGCUGUGAAAACUCGAGGCUCAACCUCGAGACGUCGGUUGAAACCACCUGGCUAGAGUCCGGAAGAGGAGAGUGGAAUUCCCGGUGUAGCGGUGAAAUGCGCAGAUAUCAGGAGGAACACCAAUAGCGAAGGCAGCUCGCUGGGACGGUACUGACACUGAGGCGCGAAAGCGUGGGGAGCGAACAGG
Molecule: ribosomal RNA, 253 nt
Filed under: uncultured bacterium
Lineage: Bacteria
Description: partial 16S ribosomal RNA
Rfam family: Bacterial small subunit ribosomal RNA
Source: RNAcentral